This 646-nucleotide ribosomal RNA is filed under the name uncultured Actinomycetes bacterium. RNAcentral describes it as "bacterial SSU rRNA". It matches the Rfam family "Bacterial small subunit ribosomal RNA", at positions 338 to 975 of the family's 1533-position model. The record is from RNAcentral. Lineage: Bacteria; Bacillati; Actinomycetota; Actinomycetes.
CCUACGGGAGGCAGCAGCCAGGAAUCUUGGGCAAUGGGCGCAAGCCUGACCCAGCAACACCGUGUGGGCGAUGAAGGCCUUCGGGUCGUAAAGCCCUGUUGAUAGGGACGAAGGGCGAAGGGUUAAUAGCCCCUAGCCUGACGGUACCUUUCGAGGAAGCCCCGGCUAACUACGUGCCAGCAGCCGCGGUAAUACGUAGGGGGCGAGCGUUGUCCGGAAUUAUUGGGCGUAAAGAGCGUGUAGGCUGUUCGGUAAGUCUGCCGUGAAAACCUGAGGCUCAACCUCGGGCGUGCGGUGGAUACUGCCGGGCUAGAGGACGGUAGAGGCGAGUGGAAUUCCCGGUGUAGCGGUGAAAUGCGCAGAUAUCGGGAGGAACACCAGUAGCGAAGGCGGCUCGCUGGGCCGUUCCUGACGCUGAGACGCGAAAGCUAGGGGAGCGAACAGGAUUAGAUACCCUGGUAGUCCUAGCCGUAAACGAUGGACACUAGGUGUGGGGGGGAGUCGAAUCCCUCUGUGCCGCAGUUAACGCGUUAAGUGUCCCGCCUGGGGAGUACGGCCGCAAGGCUAAAACUCAAAAAAAUUGACGGGGGCCCGCACAAGCAGCGGAGCAUGUUCUUUAAUUCGAUGCAACGCGAAGAACCUUACA